RNAcentral lists this ribosomal RNA (478 nucleotides) under uncultured bacterium. RNAcentral describes it as "SSU rRNA". It matches the Rfam family "Bacterial small subunit ribosomal RNA", at positions 26 to 518 of the family's 1533-position model. The record is from RNAcentral.
AGGACGAACGCUGGCGGCGUGCUUAACACAUGCAAGUCGAGCGGUAAGGCUCCUUCGGGAGUACACGAGCGGCGAACGGGUGAGUAACACGUGAGCAAUCUGCCCUUCACUUCGGGAUAACUCCGGGAAACCGGUGCUAAUACCGAAUACGACCACUUCAGGCAUCUGAUGGUGGUGGAAAGUUCCGGCGGUGAAGGAUGAGCUCGCGGCCUAUCAGCUUGUUGGUGAGGUAACGGCCCACCAAGGCAACGACGGGUAGCCGGCCUGAGAGGGUGACCGGCCACACUGGGACUGAGACACGGCCCAGACUCCUACGGGAGGCAGCAGUGGGGGAAUAUUGGACAAUGGGCGAAAGCCUGAUCCAGCAACGCCGCGUGAGGGAUGACGGCCUUCGGUUGUAACCUCUUUCAGUAGGGACGAAGCGCGAAGUGACGGUACUACGAGAAGAAGCACCGGCCAACUACGUGCCAGCAGCCGC